AUACUGAACCUGGCAGGGGAGACACCUUGAUCAAGAUUGUUUUCCCAGAGUGAGGCUUCUCCAUUGUACUGGGGAUGAGCCCACCUACGCCGUUUCCCCAGCUGCAGAAAACUCAGAGCAGACUUGGAGGUAGUUGGGGACUUUUCACACCUCCCCCUU
This is a small nuclear RNA of Peromyscus maniculatus bairdii (prairie deer mouse), 159 nucleotides long. Its record names the gene U1. It matches the Rfam family "U1 spliceosomal RNA". From Rfam's summary of the family: U1 is a small nuclear RNA (snRNA) component of the spliceosome (involved in pre-mRNA splicing). Its 5' end forms complementary base pairs with the 5' splice junction, thus defining the 5' donor site of an intron. NCBI's taxonomy places the organism in Eukaryota, Metazoa, Chordata, Mammalia, Rodentia, Cricetidae. The record is from Ensembl.